Molecule: transfer RNA, 74 nt
Filed under: Vicugna pacos (alpaca)
Lineage: Eukaryota; Metazoa; Chordata; Mammalia; Artiodactyla; Camelidae
Description: tRNA-Asp (ATC) (tRNA-Asp-ATC-35-1)
Rfam family: tRNA
About the family: Transfer RNA (tRNA) molecules are approximately 80 nucleotides in length. Their secondary structure includes four short double-helical elements and three loops (D, anti-codon, and T loops). Further hydrogen bonds mediate the characteristic L-shaped molecular structure. tRNAs have two regions of fundamental functional importance: the anti-codon, which is responsible for specific mRNA codon recognition, and the 3' end, to which the tRNAs corresponding amino acid is attached (by aminoacyl-tRNA synthetases). tRNAs cope with the degeneracy of the genetic code in two manners: having more than one tRNA (with a specific anti-codon) for a particular amino acid; and 'wobble' base-pairing, i.e. permitting non-standard base-pairing at the 3rd anti-codon position.
Source: RNAcentral
GGAGGGUAUAGCUCAGUUGGUGGAGUGCAUGUUUAUCAUGCAUGAGGUCCUGGGUUCAAUCCCCAGUUCCUCCA